This 252-nucleotide ribosomal RNA is filed under the name uncultured bacterium. RNAcentral describes it as "partial 16S ribosomal RNA". It matches the Rfam family "Bacterial small subunit ribosomal RNA", at positions 524 to 776 of the family's 1533-position model. The record is from RNAcentral.
UACGUAGGGUGCAAGCGUUGUCCGGAAUUACUGGGCGUAAAGGGCUCGUAGGCGGUUUGUCGCGUCUGCCGUGAAAGUCCGGGGCUCAACUCCGGAUCUGCGGUGGUACGGGCAGACUAGAGUGAUGUAGGGGAGACUGGAAUUCCUGGUGUAGCGGUGAAAUGCGCAGAUAUCAGGAGGAACACCGAUGGCGAAGGCAGGUCUCUGGGCAUUAACUGACGCUGAGGAGCGAAAGCAUGGGGAGCGAACAGG